UGCUGAGACAGCCAGGAGGUUAGCUUGGAAGCAGCUAUCCCUUUAAAGAGUGCGUAACAGCUCACUGGUCGAGCGACAGAGCAUCGAUAAUAAUCGGGCAUCAAGUAUAGUACCGAAGCUUAGGAUUUGCGAGCAAUCGCAAGUGGUAGGGGAGCAUUCUAACAGCGGAGAAGUCGUGUGGUAAUGCACGGUGGAGCGGUUAGAAAAGCAAAUGUAGGCAUAAGUAACGAUAAGGCAGGUGAGAACCCUGCCCACCGAUAGACUAAGGUUUCCGCGGCAAUGUUAAUCAACCGCGGGUAAGUCGGGACCUAAGGCGAACCCGAAAGGGACAGUCGAUGGCCAACCGGUUAAUAUUCCGGUACUACCGUAAUGAGCGAUGUGGUGAAGGAGUAGUGAAAGCUCCGCGAACUGACGAAAUAGUUCGUUGAAAGGCGUAGGUAUAUUUUCUGUAGGCAAAUCCGCAGAGAAUGCUGAAACCCAACAGUACCAGGAGGCUUCGGCCAAAUGGAUAGAGAGUGUAAUCAGACUUCCGAGAAAACCCGCUAAGCAUAUUGUUAUGGUACCCGUACCGCAAACCGACACAGGUAGUCAAGUAGAAGAUACUAAGGUGCUCGAGUGAAUCAUGGCUAAGGAACUCGGCAAAUUAAUCCUGUAACUUCGGGAGAAGGGAUGCCUCGUUCUAGCAAUAGAAAAGGUCGCAGAGAAAUGGCCCAGGCGACUGUUUAACAAAAACACAUGGCUUUGCGAAAUCGCAAGAUGAAGUAUAAGGCCUGACACCUGCCCGGUGCUGGAAGGUUAAGGGGGGACGUUAGUCGCAAGGCGAAGCGUUGAACUGAAGCCCCAGUAAACGGCGGCCGUAACUAUAACGGUCCUAAGGUAGCGAAAUUCCUUGUCGGGUAAGUUCCGACCUGCACGAAUGGUGUAACGAUCUGGGCGCUGUCUCAGCCAUGAGCUCGGUGAAAUUGUAGUCACGGUGAAGAUGCCGUGUACCCGUCACGGGACGGAAAGACCCCAUGCACCUUUACUAUAGCUUCACAUUGGCAUUGGGAGAAUGAUGUGUAGGAUAGGUGGGAGGCGUUGAUCCAGGGCCGCUAGGUUUUGGGGAGCCAACGGUGAAAUACCACCCUUUAUUUUCUUGAUUCCUAAUCCGUCAGAAGGCGGAGACAUUGUGUGGUGGGUAGUUUGACUGGGGUGGUCGCCUCCGAAAGUGUAUCGGAGGCUUUCAAAGGUAUGCUCAGUACGGUUGGUAAUCGUAUGUGGAGUGCAAUAGCAUAAGCAUGCUUGACUGUGAGACUGACGAGUCGAGCAGGGACGAAAGUUGGAUAUAGUGAUCCGGUGGUUCUGCAUGGAAGGGCCAUCGCUCAAAGGAUAAAAGGUACGCUGGGGAUAACAGGCUGAUCUCCCCCAAGAGCUCAUAUCGACGGGGAGGUUUGGCACCUCGAUGUCGGCUCGUCACAUCCUGGGGCUGGAGAAGGUCCCAAGGGUUAGGCUGUUCGCCUAUUAAAGUGGCACGCGAGCUGGGUUCAGAACGUCGUGAGACAGUUCGGUCCCUAUCUGUGAUGGGCGUAGGAAGUUUGAGAGGAUCUGACCUUAGUACGAGAGGACCGGGUUGGACUAACCGCUGGUGUACCGGUUGUCGUGUCAGCGGCACUGCCGGGUAGCUAUGUUGGGACGGGAUAAGCGCUGAAAGCAUCUAAGCGCGAAACCCACCUCGAGAUGAGACUUCCAUUAAGGGACGUCAGAGAUGAUGACGUUGAUAGGCUGCAGGUGUAAAGUCAGAAAUGGCAAAGCUGAGCAGUACUAAUUACCCGUUCGCUUCAGAAC
RNAcentral lists this ribosomal RNA (1824 nucleotides) under Cytophagales bacterium. RNAcentral's name for it is "partial 23S ribosomal RNA". It matches the Rfam family "Bacterial large subunit ribosomal RNA", at positions 1082 to 2925 of the family's 2925-position model. The record is from RNAcentral. Lineage: Bacteria; Pseudomonadati; Bacteroidota; Cytophagia; Cytophagales.